CCUACGGGAGGCAGCAGUGAGGAAUAUUGGUCAAUGGACGAGAGUCUGAACCAGCCAAGUAGCGUGAAGGAUGACUGCACUAUGGGUUGUAAACUUCUUUUAUAUGGGAAUAAAAUGGUCCACGUGUGGGAUUUUGUAUGUACCAUAUGAAUAAGGAUCGGCUAACUCCGUGCCAGCAGCCGCGGUAAUACGGAGGAUCCGAGCGUUAUCCGGAUUUAUUGGGUUUAAAGGGAGCGUAGGUGGAUUGUUAAGUCAGUUGUGAAAGUUGGCGGCUCAACCGUAAAAUUGCAGUUGAAACUGGCAGUCUUGAGUACAGUAGAGGUGGGCGGAAUUCGUGGUGUAGCGGUGAAAUGCUUAGAUAGCACGCAGAACUCCGAUUGCGAAGGUAGCUCACUGGACUGCAACUGACACUGAGGCUCGAAAGUGUGGGUAUCGAACAGGAUUAGAUACCCCGGUAGUC
RNAcentral lists this ribosomal RNA (460 nucleotides) under uncultured bacterium. Its description in RNAcentral is "partial 16S ribosomal RNA". It matches the Rfam family "Bacterial small subunit ribosomal RNA", at positions 338 to 795 of the family's 1533-position model. The record is from RNAcentral.